Molecule: ribosomal RNA, 253 nt
Filed under: uncultured bacterium
Lineage: Bacteria
Description: partial 16S ribosomal RNA
Rfam family: Bacterial small subunit ribosomal RNA
Source: RNAcentral
UACGUAGGGUGCGAGCGUUGUCCGGAAUUAUUGGGCGUAAAGAGCUCGUAGGCGGCCUGUCGCGUCGGAUGUGAAAGCCCGGGGCUUAACCCCGGGUCUGCAUUCGAUACGGGCAGGCUGGAGUGUGGUAGGGGAGAUCGGAAUUCCUGGUGUAGCGGUGAAAUGCGCAGAUAUCAGGAGGAACACCGGUGGCGAAGGCGGAUCUCUGGGCCAUUACUGACGCUGAGGAGCGAAAGCGUGGGGAGCAAACAGG